RNA transcript from Cucumis melo (muskmelon), 1590 nucleotides. RefSeq lists it as uncharacterized. The transcript is spliced from 7 exons. The record is from RefSeq and is a predicted model, not a curated record. Lineage: Eukaryota; Viridiplantae; Streptophyta; Magnoliopsida; Cucurbitales; Cucurbitaceae.
UAGCUAUAAUAAAGCCAAAGGCAAAAGAAACCUUUAUUUUUGUAUUGAAACGACGUCGGAGAUGGUAGUAACCAAAAGGAAAGGAGAUUGAUUCGCCCUCAUCUCUUGUCCGGAGAGAAUCGGAGGUUUCAUCAAAUGCCUGUGGCAAUUGCAAUUGCGGCAGCGCCAAGUUUUCGUCACUUCAAGAAACUUAAACUCAAUACUCGAUUAUCUUCCUCACUGGGCGCCAUUCAUCGAGAGAGGAAAGCUAUGGUCGCAACAGCCAGUAGCAGUAGCCGAAAUGCUGGGGCAUACACCACCAUUAAAGAGAUUGUAAGAUUCGAAAAAGAAAUCAAGAAGAGCAAGUUCAUCGCUAUCGCUGGCCCUGUCUCCAACGAGCAAUCUGCCUUCUCUUUUCUCUCCCAGGUGCGGGAUCCGCGAGCUACCCACAAUUGCUGGGCGUAUCAGGUUGGAGAUCAAUAUAGGUCUAAUGAUGAUGGCGAGCCAUCUGGUACGGCUGGAAAACCAAUUCAUUCUGCUAUUGUUUCUUCAGGUAUUGACAGAGUCAUGGUGGUUGUGAUCAGGUAUUUUGGAGGUAUCAAACUUGGCACUGGGGGACUAGUCAGGGCUUAUGGAGGAGUAGCUUCCGAAUGCCUGAAGAGUGCCCAAACAUGUGUUGUGAAAUCUAAGGUUCCAAUGGGUGUGGAGGUACCAUUUGAUCUUUUAGGGGUCUUGUACCACCAGUUGCAAUCUUUUCAAGUUGAGGACAUUAAGCAGGAUUAUGACAGUGGUAAAGAUGGUAUUACUAUGGUGACAUUCAAGGUUGAUUUCGAUUGUGUUGAGAAGUUGGAGGAUGCUAUCAAAUCUAACUGUAGCCGUGAAUUAGUCUUUUACAAGCGAUAAGUUAUACAGCUACUCAUUGUACAUGAAUGCAGAGAAGGGAGGUACACAUCAAUAUAAAGAUGAAAUCAUGUGCGCAUACAAUUAAUGGUGGGUGGUAUGAGUAACGUAGAAGCAUCGUAUUUUUCAGAAGCACGCAGCAGUAAGUUCUUAUUUAAUGAUGAUAACCAUCAAGGAACCUUCGUCAAUUUGGACUUGUUUCAUUUGAUGGGAAGGAAUAAUUGAAAUGCUGCUAUGGUGGAAAUCGUGUUGGGCUGCCUAAAGGUAUAUUAAUUUUGCUUCUUUCAACCUUCAUCUGGUUAGAGUCCCAAAUAUAGCAUUACCGAUAGGCUAGUGGAAGCCAUUCUAUGUUUGAAUGGGAGUUUUGAGUUGAAGAAGAAGAGAUUUUGAUAGAAGCCAUUCUGUGUUUGAAUAGGACAUGGAUCUUGAGUGUAUUUACCAAUCAUUGUACUUGUGCGAGCAUUGAAGAACCAAUAGAAGAUGUUUGAGUAAGUUUAGUUAAGUACAAUAUGAACCAAAUGAUUGAAGACCACGCUUGAUUGGAAUGAAUAAAAUCCAACUCACUAGAAGUAAUAGUGUAAAGAAAACGAUUUUGGAACUACAGUUUGGUUUUUUGAUUAUGAAUUGCUCUCAUCCAUAUGGAAAAGGACAUUGUGGCUGAUAUGUCCAAGUUAUUGAAAGGUUAGGCGAUUGUAAACUCCUAGUUUAUCA